This 338-nucleotide RNase P RNA is filed under the name Anser cygnoides (Swan goose). Its description in RNAcentral is "Nuclear RNase P (ENSACDG00005003289.1)". It matches the Rfam family "Nuclear RNase P". Rfam says of the family: Ribonuclease P (RNase P) is a ubiquitous endoribonuclease, found in archaea, bacteria and eukarya as well as chloroplasts and mitochondria. Its best characterised activity is the generation of mature 5'-ends of tRNAs by cleaving the 5'-leader elements of precursor-tRNAs. Lineage: Eukaryota; Metazoa; Chordata; Aves; Anseriformes; Anatidae. The record is from Rfam by way of RNAcentral.
UCCGGGGGAAGCUCACCGCCGAGGCCACCCACGGGGUGCCCGUCACCCGCCGGCCACGCCUCGGGGAAGGUCUGAGGGAAGGGCCGCCCGCGGCCCCAGCAGGGCCCCGCCCGCGCGGGCGGGUGAGCCACCAGCAAGGGGGGGCGCCGCGCUGGGCCGGCCUGGGCAGGAGAAGCUGGGAGCGGGGCGCGGGGGGCGCCGUCCCCCCAGCCACCCCCGCCCCGGCGGAUGCUCGUGGCCCCGCGGUGCUUUGAGACAGACUCACGGCCGGCGCGCUGAGUCCAAUGGGUGAGGUGGGGCACGGCCCCACAACCCAAUUCAGACUACUCUCCCCCGGG